GUAGGUGGCAAGCGUUGUCCGGAAUUAUUGGGCGUAAAGCGCGCGCAGGCGGUUCUUUAAGUCUGAUGUGAAAGCCCACGGCUCAACCGUGGAGGGUCAUUGGAAACUGGAGAACUUGAGUACAGAAGAGGAAAGCGGAAUUCCACGUGUAGCGGUGAAAUGCGUAGAGAUGUGGAGGAACACCAGUGGCGAAGGCGGCUUUCUGGUCUGUAACUGGCGCUGAGGCGCGAAAGCGUGGGGAGCAAACAGGAUUAGAUACCCUGGUAGUCCACGCCGUAAACGAUGAGUGCUAAGUGUUAGGGGGGUUUUCCGCCCCCCUUAGUGCUGCAGCUAACGCAUUAAGCACUCCGCCUGGGAGUACGGCCGCAAGGCUG
Molecule: ribosomal RNA, 374 nt
Filed under: uncultured organism
Description: partial 16S ribosomal RNA
Rfam family: Bacterial small subunit ribosomal RNA
Source: RNAcentral